Molecule: long non-coding RNA, 18993 nt
Filed under: Ananas comosus (pineapple)
Lineage: Eukaryota; Viridiplantae; Streptophyta; Magnoliopsida; Poales; Bromeliaceae
Description: long non-coding RNA (ACOM_LNC014447)
Source: RNAcentral
CCGGUGCAGGCGAGGACGCCGCCGCAGUCGCCGGUCUGGCAGUGGCCGUUGCCGUUGGAAUCGAAGGAGCAGCCGGUGCGAGCCCAGACGCGGCCGCCGGUGGUGCCGUCAGCCACGUUGAAGGUCCAGGACUGACCUGGGUUGAGCUGGGCGCCGCCGCCGGGGGAGGCGGCGCCCCAGACGGUGUAGGAGCAACGGUUGACGACGUUGAAGGUCGAGGCGGCGGCGAGAGGGACGAGGGCGAGGAGCAGGAGAGGGAGAGUGGUUUGUGUGGCCAUUUUUGAGGAGAAAAUGGAUUUAGAGUGUUGUUGUUGUUGUUGUUGUUAAGUGUGGUGUUGUGUGUAGGAAAGGAGGGGGGGAAGAGGGAGUGCAAUUUAUAGAGGUUUCGGAGAGGUCGCAUGGGGGAAGUUGUGCGGACGUUUUGAGAUUAAGAGGAAAAUUCAAAUAUUACGUACUAUGAACAAUGUGGCUAGUUAAUUGGCCGCGUAUGUAGGGAUGUUGAUGUUUCGACUUAUGCGUAACGCUUGUAUUCUCUUCUCACCAAGAAAAAAUAUAUGUUUAAGUCUAACAGGGAGAGAAUAUAUUUUACUCUCUAGAUACCAAAUAAAUAUUCCCAAGAGAUAAAAAAUUUUAUUAGAUUAUUGUGUCAAAAAAAAAAAAUCUUGACUAAAUGCACCUUCAUAUUAUUACUUUUUUUUUAUUCCUUCUUAAGAUAGUUAAGUGUAUUAUUUUUUCUUUUCAUUAAUUGCACUAUGUGAAGGCGAGUUCCAAGUUUCUUUCUCUAAAGUCCAGAUGGAGCAUUAAAUGCGUCUGUUGCCCCUCUUCCUCGGGAGUCGGGAGCCACGCCAUCCUUCGCAUCCCCGGCCCCUGCUGUCCUCGCACCCCCUGAUGGAAAAACUUCCUCGGGCCCCACUUUUGUACUCGGACUGGAGCUCAACCAGUUGUGUACUUGUGUUGGGACCUCUCUAUUCUCCGAUGCGGACCGGGCCCCUCACCGAGCCCAACUACGCUCCGGCUCCAUCUUCUCUUUCCCUCCCGGUUCCGACCCAGUUGGCCAUUCGGCUCAGCUCCCGGCCCAUCGGGGCUGCGUUAUGGGCUACCCUACUUCGCAGUCCAGCGCAGGCCAUGGGUUGCGCUAGUAUUACACGCUGCCUAUGCUGUUUCUUUGAAAAAAUUUUAAAAUGCAACGGUAUAUUGAUGACGUGACGUAACAAAUCAAUCAAAAAAAUUCUUUUAGAAAUAUAUGUCCCAUCGUGAUUAUAAAAAAUAUUUUUAUUGUAUUUUUGUUUGAAAAGAAAAAAGGUGAUUGAUUUGUUAUUGAUGACGUGGUGCAAGUGUGAUAGUUUAGAAUUUCUCGUUUCUUUGCGCCAGUCUCGAUUGGAGCGAUCGCCACGUCGCCGACGCCUCUCCCGCUCCCGCUUCUCUGACGGAGUCUCCUUCCAUUAACAAGCACCCUCCAUCCGACCUCUCCAUUAAAGAAGUCGCGACCGCUCCCAGUGUCAGCAGGCGAAAGUAAUAUAAUCGGGCGAGACGACGACUUAUAAACAAAAUAAAAUGACAAAAUUGGUGCAAUUAAAGAAUCAGGUGAUUCAUCUACCGUACCGUCUUUAUGAGGGCAAGCAAAUGAAUGUAGAAAGCUUUUUAAAAACACUUCAUUGGAAAGCCUUCAAUUUAUUGUCUCAUGCAAAAAUAUAAUAUUUUUUAAAAAAUUAUAAGUUAUAUGAAUUUCUGAACGAGAAAUCUCGACCGGUUGCAUAAAAAUUAUAAGUUAUAUAUAUAAAUUUCUGACGAAUCAAUAACAUCGCUUUGGACCGACCGUUCUUAGAGCAAGUGGCAAAUGGCUCGGUGGUUGGUAUUUGAAAUUCCAAAUUCGAAUUUUAAUUGAUUCACAUUUCCAGCUAAAUUUAUUUCUAUAUAAAAUAAAUGAAGCGUGUAUUGUGCUAUCUAUCUCUUAAAAAAAAAAAUAAAAUAAAAAACAUCGCUUUGGCUUUAUCAUUGAAAAACCGAAGUUCAUAAAAGUAACGGCUGACCCACACUGUUUUCUCUGACUCCCAUAAAUAAAGCAAACCUAUCAAUUGCUAGGUCAACGUUGACCCAGGAAAAACGUAGCCGUUGUAAAAGUUGAUUUUAAAAGAUGGCGGGAACGGCCUGUGGAGUUAUAUAAACCAAAUUAUUUGAAGAGUCUGGUUGUUUUGAUGGCUUAUUUUUUGGAUUUUGGUUCUGUGGAACAUUCAAUGAACAUUUAUUACAAUUUAAAUCACUACUACAAUUUUUUUUUUUCCCUUUCAAUUUAAACAACCAACUUUGUCUCUCUAUCUCUCUCAAAAAAAAAUUUUUUGUCUCUCUAUAGUCAACCGAAAAGUCAAAUGUGAAAAAAAUAUUUAUAGAGUGUUCUAUUAUUUGAUUAAUUGUUCUUUUAAGUAGUGCUACGGGAGGAGCCCGUAUUUUUAAGUUAAAAAAGCUUUUACUUUAUUUAGAGCAUGAAAUUUUAUUUUUUAUUCAGUUUUUUGUUGCAGCAGCCCACAUAAUAAAUGAGAAAAUGUUGUAACUAUGUAUAUUUCCUAUCCAACCAAAUGAAUCAGGCGUAUUACUUUUAUUUCAAACUAAACAAUCCCCAUGGAAGGAGCUUCUACAGAGUAGCCACCUUCUCUUACACAAUUACUUUAUUCCACAAUGCUUUAUUCAAGACGCAUACAAUACGUAGGCAUACGUCCAUGUAUAGAUACCGCUAUACGUAUAGUAGUAUAUAACUGUGAUCUAAGGGCAAAACACAACCUGGUAGUUGGUGUUUCCAGGGCAAGUGAAAGUGGUGCCGUCGUAAUCGUCAGGAUAGCUGAAAGCCUGAGGGCACUGGCCCUUGAAGUACUCGGAGUACUGCGUCGGGUUGCAGCUGCUCCCGGACGGGCAGCAGUACUCCGGCGCCCCGAAGAUCGUGCACGGGUCAUCGCACCCGCCGGGCACCUGCAGCGGCGCCGGGCAGUUCGCAUUUACGUUGGCGGCGCAGCUCGGCCCCGACGUGCAACCAUUCGACGUCGGCGUGAAGCUCAGCGGCACGUUGAACCCUGAUAACAAAGCGGUUCGUUCAUUCACAAAUUUGUACCGUAAAUUAAAUACUGUUUAAUUCUAAUAGUUUAAGCUUAUAGAAUAAAAGUACCAGCCACGAGGGAGAUGUCAAAGUAGUCGAGGCCCCCAGACUGGUCGAGAGAAUACUCGGCGAGAGUAUUGGGGUUCUGUCCGUAGCCGGUGCAGGCGAGGACGCCGCCGCAGUCGCCGGUCUGGCAGUUGCCGUUGCCGUUGGAGUCGAAGGAGCAGCCGGUGCGAGCCCAGACGCGGCCACCGGUGGUGCCGUCAGCCACGUUGAAGGUCCAGGACUGGCCCUGGUCGAGCUGGAUGCCGCCGCCGGGGGAGGCGGCGGCCCAGACGGUGUAGGAGCAUUGGUUGAUGACGUUGAAGGUCGAGGCGGCGGCGAGAGGGAGGAGGGCGAGGAGCAGGAGAGGGAGAGUGUUUUGUGUGGCCAUUUCUGGGGAGAAAAUGGAUUCAAAGUGUUGUUGUUGUUGUUGUUGUUGUUGUGGGUUGGGAGGAAGGGGGAGGGAGUGCAAUUUAUAGAUGUUUUGGCGAUGUUGCAUGGGGGAAUUUAUGCUUACGUUUUGAGAUGAAGAGGAAAAUUCAAAGAUUGCUGCGACCAAAGUGACUAAUUGGCCGUGAAUGUUGGGAUGUUGAUGUUUGGACGUAUUGCAUAACGCUUUUAUUCUCUCAGAAAAUCUCUCUCUCUCUCUCUCUCUCUCUCUCUCUCUCUAUAUAUAUAUAUAUAUAUAAUUUUAAAAGGGAGAUAAUAUACUUUACUCUCUAAAUACCAAAAAAAUAUACACUUAAUUCUUUUCAAAAGAUCAAAAAAAUGUUGAAAAAAAUAGUGAUAUGACUAAAUACGCCUUCAUAUUAUUAUCACAAUUAUGUUUCCUCUUAAGAAAGUUAAGUGCAUACUUCUUUUUUAUUUAAGAGGUUAAAUAUUACCGAUGUAAGUUUUCGGAAGAAUCAAAUGCACGCUAUUUUUAUUCAAGGAGUUUAGUGCAAUAAUAUGUGAAAUGUUGAACAGGAUCAAGUAUAGUUUAGCCCAUACAUAAUUGCGUUAUGCUUCCUACAUAGAGUUGGUUGUUACCUGAUUUUAGGGUUCACUUGACCUAUGUAGAGCUGGAGGAGAAAUUCUACUAUAUAUUUUCUUUAAAGGGGUAAUUAAAAUCUAUGCAUCUGUCGUUGGGUGUAAUUAGUGGAAGUAAUGUUGUGCUCACUUUCCAAAUUGCGGAGUAGAAUUAGAUGGUAAAAGCUACAUCAUUAGCGGAUCGACACAAACCACUGCACUUAGGGAUUGUUUAAUUGUAUAUAAUUGCAAUUAUAUGGCAUCGAUAGAGUUGAGAAAAGAAAAAAAAUGAACGGGCGAAAAAGGAAAAAGGAGGGAACUCAACAGCAACAUGGGGGCCGUAGAAAAAACAAGAGAAGGAAGAGAAAGUAGGUGGAGAAGGAGAGGGAGAAAGCGAGGAUGGAGUAAGACAAAUCGGAACGUAAGGAGCAAAAGGAACAAAUAAAAAAAAAGGAGAGAGAAAAAAAAAAAAAAGGUAUUUGGUCAGUUUACUAAAAAUUUGGAUUGAAUCUAUAAAAUUCAAAAUAAUGGUUUACUUUUGAAAAAAUUCAAAACUAGUAAUUUUUUUAUGCAAAUUGGUUUAAAUAGAAAGUUCUUUUUGACAACUCCAAUAGAAUGUAUUGAUUACCUUUUGUGUUCGAAUUGCUGGAAAAGUUAUGUUAAUAACUAAGGUACCCAAGCAUUAAUCUAGGAUUGUAUUUUGAAUCAAAUUUUAAUGAGAAGCUCCCCAACAAAAUAUUGUUGGAGAGUGCUUGAUUCACUGCUACGUGUUAGUUUUAACUCUAUUUAAAAAUUUAUUAGGUAACUUUUAAAAAAAUAUAUAAUUUUUUGAGCAAUGAUAAAACUGACACAUUAUAGUAGAUCGGAACUCAUCAAAGAGACAUCGGUGUAGAGUUUUCUAAUGAAGGUUUUUCUAUUUUCAAAAAUAUUUUAUCAGUAAAAUUGUUCAAGAAAUAAAGAUAGCUUUGUCAUUAAAAAUCGAAUACUGUCACUUCUAUUAUGUCGCUUCUAGUAAGAGUAGAAGUUUCAAACUAAAAUCUAUGUAUUUUUUUGGACCCAUAAUAUCUCAUUUUGCUUUUCCACUAGGUCAAAACUUUUUUACUUUUUGUCUGCUAAACCAUCUAGGGUUUUGUUUGAACAAGUAAGCGUUUAAAUGACAACCGCGACAAUCAAUCAAUUAUAUCGUAAAGAGUCAUGAUCAUUUGAGCUGGCAUUUAAUUAUAAAAUUAGAUUAUAACACUUAUCUUUUAAAAGAUAGUUUAAAGACCUUGAGCAACAUAAGAGAGUAAACCUCAAUUAUUCAAUCUUUUUUCUUUUUUUUUUUUCCCUAGAACUGCAUACUUUUCCACAGGCAUUUAAAUGCUUAUUAAUUUCUAUCUUUUUUGUACCCUGAAAACGAAAAGGACAUAAUACACUUGCCUAACACUCAAUCAAUAUUCCACAAAAAUAAUCUUCCAAAAGUAUAAUGGAAAACUCCAUGACUGGCAACAUUUUAUAAAAAAAUUUUCCACAGUUCUUAAAUUAUGCAAUAAGUGAGCCUACUUCCUAUGGCACCCUUAGAAUUUACAAUAGUUUUAUAUAUAAAGUAUAUAUAAUAUGACUAAAUCUCUCAAUCCGGCUAGAAUAUAUUUGACGAUGGUUUGAUCUAAAAAAUUAAGAAAAUUAAGUAUGAUAGAGUUAGAAUAGUUUUAGAAUAAACGACUCCUUGGCCUUGGAGAGCAAAGCGUCACACUUCCCAUGUUUAUGCAGUUAAUUAAUCCAAGUCACGUGAUUUAACUUAAAAUGGAACUUGGAAACUUCCUUAUCUUACUUGACAAGUUCCAGAAUCCUAAUUUCCAAGCACAUUUUCCACCACGAUUCUUAAAGACCAAUCAAUAAUUUCUCAAAUUUUUGGUACAUAUAUCAUUUGCCGUCACCUUUGACCGGCAUUUUCCAUCACCGAAUUUGACCUAAAAUAAGUCUAAGAAAUUUCCAACUAUAUCUGAAGUUCCAUUGUCAAAACAGAAGAGAAACAUAAUAAUUUUCCAGGCAUAUUAGAUUUUCAAGAAUAUUCUCAUCACUUUCUUAAUAUUCUUCGUGUUAAAUAUAAAAAAAUAUAAACAUAGUUCUCUCACAGUUUAAGAUUUUAAAAUACAACGGUUGUUUUACAUAGUAUUAAAAAAGUAUUAAAACAGGAGAUUCUGAGUCAAUCACAUCCGCUCUUAGCAUUAUAUUUUUUCUCAUGUCCUGAGUUCGAGUCACGUUAUAGCCUUGCAAAAGUUUCGAGCCCAGACGUUAUUGAGAGUGCUAAAUUAAAACAUAUAUGAAUAUCGUUCUCUCCAUAGUUUAAACUUUUAGGUAUCGUUUGGUUCGGUGAUAAGCAAAAAGUGGCUAUUCAGAAUAGGUAUAAAAUGAGUAUAAGCGGAUUGGAUCAAUUUUGGCGUUUGGAUGAAAUUGAGUUACUCCUAGGGAUAAAAAAAUAGCGUUUGUUAGGUAAGAUAGAAUAAGAAAGAUAGUAAAUUUUAAAAUAAAAAAUAAUGAUAUUACCUUUUAUUAUAUUUGAAUUUAAUUUUUUGAUUAUAUUUUUAAAUUUACAAUUUUAACUUUGAAAUUUUAAAAUUUGAAAUUAAAAUUUAAAAUUGAAAAUCUCAAUUUUAAAUUAAAUUUCAAACUUUAAUUUAAGAUCAAAUUUAAAUUUGAAAAAUAUAAAAUAUCAAAUUUAAAUUUGAAAAAUUUAAAAUAUCAAUUUUAAUUUGAAAAAUUUAAAAUAUCAAAUUUAAAUUUAAAAUUAAAAAUAUAAUUAAGUAAUUAUAAAACUUUAAUUUUGAUAUUACAAAAUUUAAAUUUAAAAUUUUAAAAUAUUAAAAUUUUAAAAAUUGGGUUGGGAAGCAAUAAUAAAAACUAUUUAUUAUAAUAAAUUUAUAAAUUUUUUAAAAAUUCUACUUAAACUUAAAUUUAAUAAAAAGAAUUUAUUAUAAUAUUUAAAAAUAAUUUAUUAUAAAAUUUAUUAUAAAAUUUAAAUAUAAAUAAUAUGUAUUAAUAUAGUGUAAUUAAUAAAUUUAUAAUAAAAAUAAUGAAUUAUAAUAUAUAAUAUAGUAUAUUUAUAUAAUUUAGUUUUAAUUCAAUUUAUAAUUUUUAAUUAAGUUUGAAAUUAAGCAUUGAAAUAGUACUAUUCCACCAAAAUAGUGGAAUAGCAAAUCUCUUACUAAUCCGGGAUAACCGGAAACAGGGACGAAGCUAUAUGGAGGCCCAAGGUGGCCAUGGCCUCCCUCAACUUUUCAAUAUCUAUUAACCUAUAUGAAUCCUCAAUGAUUUUGCCACGUGGCAAGUUUUCCUCCACCCUCAGUAACUUUUUUUUUUGAAUUAAUUUUUACUCAUGGCUUUUCCCCUCCCCUCCUCUCUAUUCAAUGAUAUAUAAUCAAUGUGCUUUCCUCUUCAAUAUAAGUUCUCUCUUUUCCCUCAAACAAUUCCUAAUAUGCAAAAUUAAAAGAGGAGAGGUUAGUUUUGAUUUCAUAAUUGAUGUGACAGUUCUCAAAAGGGUGCAAAAUCAUGCAAACUUUUAUGAGAUUUUCAUCGCAAUCGUCGUCAUGAUCGCAACAUUAUCAUCUCUAUCUUCAUACGACCUUUGUAGAUUUUUUCUUUAAAUGGUAAUUCUAGGCAGUUAUCAAUUUUCAAUGGUUAUAUUAGUUAGUUUAAUUCAUACAUUUACCUACCCAAAAAAUAAAACACACUUGAAUUUUUAUUUUCCAAACUCCUUUCUUCGCCCUCUUCAAUAUUUUUUAUUUUUUCUUCUAUUAUUUAUCAGCCGCACCGCGCGGGUUACUACACUAGUUUGUUUAAUGGUUCUUCAAAGUUUUUUUUUUGUGAACCAUGGAUAGCUUUGGCCCCCCUAAUUUUUCAAUAUUUACUUAACAGUGUGGUGCCAAUAUAACUCUCUCUCUCUCUUUCUCCUAAUUGGUAUACUCUUUUUAUGGGUGAAAAUAUAUUAAAAGUUUCUUGCUUAUAGAGUAUUUUAUAAUAUAUUUCUCUACUCUAAAAAUUUUAUUUAAUAUUUUUUUUAACUUUUAUUUAUCUUAGGUGAGCUUUUUUAUUUGACUAAAUCAAAAAUUGCUUAAUAGCUAUGUUAAUUUUAUUUACUAAAAAACUAAGAAAUUACUGUUAGAUUUAGUAAAAUUUCUAAAUUAUUUUAAUAUAAUAAUAUAAAUAAAAUAAUUAGAAGUUAAACAUAUGAAAAUAAAAAACAUAAAGUUCAUAUUUUUACAUUAUUUAUUUCAUUAAUAAUUUUUUAAUAAAAAAUUUUUUAUUAGAAAAUAUUUUGUUUAUUAUUUAUUACUAAAGUUUCUAUUUAAAUAUAUUUUGGCCCCCCCUCAAGAUUGAAUUCUAGUUUCGUCCCUGACCGGAAAUAGUAAGGUUUUGACCGGGAUAAAAUAUUUCCGUAAAACAUUACUCCACUUGGCGGAAUAAUAGGAAUAACUUUCGUUAUCCCCGCUUAUUCCCCGAACCAAAUGGGGCCUUAGAUUAGAUAAUUCCAACACCUACUUCGGUAAGUUACCUCUUCUGUGGAUAAGCUUCUCCUCGAUCAGAAGAUCAACACGAGUCGAUCUCAUAUCGAAUUUUGAUGAAAGCGAGAUACGAGUUGAACCGGAUUGUAAUUCAAACUACUAGGAAAACAGGAUUGCAUUAUCAUUAUCCAAGGGUGGAAUGCGCAGGAAAGGAAAACAAAUUCACCAUGUUUAUGUACAGUAGUAGUAAAGCAUUCUCUACUGAAACUUCAUUAUCAUUUCUCAUUUGUCUCCUUCAAUUUACCAGUGUUUUUUUUUUUUUCCCCCAAUUUUUGGAUUGGCAUAAUUUCGUAGAACAGCAAACUGAUCCCCGGCUAUAUAUCGUCCAUGUCAUGUAACACUAAUGAUCGAUCAUUUCAUACUUCAAUUUGCUAAAGUGGAGAAAAAACACACAUCUAAUUAAAAGGCACAAAAACCAAAAGGGGAAAAGUAUAACCAUGCAUCCAACUCAAAAUAGCUCUGCGAAAACAAUAGACAAAAUUUGAGGCCUCACUUGGUCCGGAUAAUAUACGUACAAUAUACGUAUAGUAGUAUCUCUGAUCUAAGGGCAAAACACAAUCUGGUAAUUGGUGUUUCCAGGGCAAGCGAAAGUGGCGCUGUUAUCAUCGUAAGGAUAGCUGAAUGACUGAGGGCACUGGCUCUUGAAGUACUUGGAGUACUUCGUCGGGUUGCAGCUGCUCGGGGACGGGCAGCAGUACUCCGGCGUCCCGAAGAUCGUGCACGGGUCGCCGCACCCCCCGGGCACCUGCAGCUCUGCCGGGCACUGCGCAUUUACGUCGGCAGCGCAGCUCGGCCCCGACGUGCAGCCGUUCGACGUCGGCUUGAAGCUCAGCGGCACGUUGAACCCUGAAAACAAAGCGGUUUGUUCAUUCACAAAUUUGUACCGUAAAUUAAACACUGUUCUCUGAUAGUUUAAACUUAUAGAAUAAAAUCACCAUCCACGAGGGAGAUGUCAAAGUAGUCGAGGCCCCCAGGGUUGUUGAGAGAAUACUCGGUGAGAGUAUUGGGGCUCUGUCCGGAGCCGGUGCAGGCGAGGACGCCGCCGCAGUCGCCGGUCUGGCAGUGGCCAUUGCCGGUGGAGUUGAAGGUGCAUCCGGUGCGAGGCCAGACGCGGCCGCCGGUGGUGCCGUCAGGCACGUUGUAGGACCAGGACUGGCCCGGGUUGAGCUGGAUCCCGCCGCCGGGGGAGGCGGCGGCCCAGACGGUGUAGGAGCAAUUGUUGGCGACGUCGAAGGUGGAGGCGGCGGCGAGAGGGAGGAGGGCGAGGAGCAGGAGAGGGAGAGUGUUUUGUGCGGCCAUUUCUGGGAGCAAAAAGAUUUGUGUGUUGUUGUUGUUGUUGUUGUUGUUGUCGUUGUUCCUUGUGGGGGUGUUGUGCUGUGAGUAGGAAAGGGGCCGGGGGAGUGGAAUUCAUAAGAGGUUUCGGAGAGGUUGCGUAGGGUAAUUUGUGAUGACGUUUUGAGAUGAAGAGGAAAUUUCGAUGAUCACUAUGGCCGUGUGCGUAGGGUAGGGAUGACGUUUCAACUUAUAUAUAUAUAUAAAGCAAUGCUUUUUUGACCGGCUAAUCUAUUGUAAUAGAAUAGAUCUACAUUCUUUCGGUAAAAAUAAAAAAUAAAAUAAAAUACUUCUAUGCAAAUAACUUAUAAGCUGGUUUGAGAAAAGUAAAUUUUAAAACCGGCUAUAUAUAAAUAUAUGAAUCCCAGUUCGGGUUCAGGUUGCAGCGAGGGGCGGAGGCGCGGCGAGCCUGGUGCGGGUGGGGCCCAGCUGGAGGAGAGGAAGGAAGAAUUUUUUUUAUUUUUCCUUCUCUCUCUUUAUUUUUUUUUUUUCUAUUUAGUAUAUUUGUAUUAAAUAUAAAUUUUAUUAAUUUUAUACUAUUAACUAUUUAUAGAGAGAGAGAGAGAGUAGAGUAGAGUAGAGUAGAGUAGAAGCAUCGAGGGGCAUAGUAUGGACAAGUAUGGGGAAUAGAGGAAAAUUUGGCUGAGGGACCCAUGGCUACAAAUUUAGGGGAAGAGAGAGAGAGAGAGAGAGAGAUGGAGAGAUAGAGGAGGGAAGGAGAAUAAGAAAGAGAGAGCUAUGAGGGGCCCAACUCCGAAAUCAUGAAAAAGCUUCUUGAAGCGGAAAAAUUCCAGAAUGCAACGGGUAUAUUAGUGACGUGGCGUAAUAAAUCAAUCAAAUUAAUUCUUUUAAGAAUAUAUGUCCCAUCAUGAUUGUAAAAAAGUAUUUUUAUUGUACUUUUGUUUGAAAAGAAGGAAUGUGAUUGGCUUGUUAUUGAUCACGUGGUGUAAGUGUGACAGUAUAGAAUCCCUCCUUGAAGCGGUUGAGGUUCAUCCUUUAAUGUCAAACAAAAAAUAAAUUACCUUUUUAAUUAUUUUUUUUGAAACACACACACACACACACACACACACACACACACACACACACAUAUAUANAUAUAUAUAUAUAUUACUUUACAUUAUUUCUCAAAAAACUUGCCACAUAGCAACACAAGCUUCAAUGUUGUUGGGUGUGAGCUCCACCGGUUCUUUUUUUUUAGUUGAACUGAACCGAAUUGUCGAGUAUGAGUCCCAUCCUAAACCGGCUAAAGUCCUCCAAAUUAUUUCACCUUUUUUUGCUUGAACCAAAUAUGGUUGAGUGAGGUCUCUACACUAAACCGGUUCAUGUUUCCUAUUUUUUGUUUGCCUAAACCAAACCGGUGCCCUCUUUCUUUGCUUGAACCAAUCUGCUUCAUUAGACCGAACCAGACUAAUUGAUUCAUGUCAUCCAUUAUUCGGCCAACUUGCAUUACAUCUAUUAUCUAUUAUCUAUUAUCUAUUAUCUAUUAAUUUAUAUUAUUUCUCAAAAAACUUGCCACAUGGCAACACAAGUUUCAAUGUUGUUGGGUGUGGGCUCCACCGGUUCUUUUUUUUUAGUUGAACCGAACCGAAUUGUCGAGUAUGAGUCCCAUCCUAAACCGGCUCAAGUCUUCCAAAUUAUUUCACCUUUUUUUGCUUGAACCAAAUAUGGUUGAGUAAGGCCUCUACACUAAACCGGCUCAUAUUUUCUGUUUUUUGUUUGCCUGAACCAAACCGGUGCCCUCUUUCUUUGCUUGAACCAGUCUACUUUAUUAGACCGAACCAGACCAAUUGAUUCAUGUCAUCCAUUAUUCGGCCAACUUGCAUUACAUCUAUUAUCUAUUAUCUAUUAUCUAUCUAUUACUUUAUAUUAUUUCUCAAAACACUUGCCACAUGGCAACACAAGCUUCAAUGUUGUUGGGUGUGGGCUCCACCGGUUCUUUUUCUUUAGUUGAACCGAACCAAAUUGUCGAGUAUGAGUCCCAUCCUAAACCGGCUCAAGUCCUCCAAAUAUUCACCUUUUUUUGCUUGAACCAAAUAUGGUUGAGUGAGGCCUCUACACUAAACUGGCUCAUGUUUCCUUUUUUUUGUUUGCCUGAACCAAACCGGUGCCCUCUUUCUUUGUUUGAACCAGUCUGCUUUAUUAAAUCGAACCAGACCAAUUGAUUCAUAUCAUUCAUUAUUCGGCCAACUUGUAUUACAUGUUAAAUAAUUAUAAUAACUCGAAAAAAAAAACUUCAAUUAACAAUCAUAUAUAUAUUAUUUUAUUUAUUUAUUUAUUUAUUUAUAUAUUAUUUCUUCUAAAGUUGCCACAUGGCAACACAAGCUUCAAUGUUGUUGGGUGUGGGCUCCACCGGUUCUUUUCCUUUAGUUGAAUCGAACCGAAUUGUCGAGUAUGAGUGCCAUCCUGAACUGGCUCAAGUCCUCCAAAUAAUUUCACCUUUUUUUGCUUGAACUAUGGAUGGUUGAGGGCUGCCUCUACAAUCAGCCAGCUCUUGCUUCUUUUUUUUUGUCUGCAUCAAACCAGCCGCUACCCUCUUUCUUUGCUUGAACCAGUCUGCUUUACUAGACCAAACCAGACCAAUUGAUUCAUAUCAUUCAUUAUUCGGCCAACUUGCAUUACAUGUUAAAUAAUUAUAAUAAUUCGAAAAAAGAACUUCAAUUAUCAAUCAUAUAUAUAUAUUAUUUUAUUUAUUUAUUUAUACAUUAUUUUUUCUAAAGUUGCCACAUGGCAACUUUUUCUUCAUUUUUGAGUGUGUGCUCCANNNNNNNNNNNNNNNNNNNNNNNNNAUAUAUAUAUAUAGAGAGAGAGAGAGAGAGAGAGAGAGAGAGAGAGAGCGCCAAGCAUAAUACUUUCGAAAAUAUAAAGAAGUUGAUACUUUCAAGUUUUUAACCCUUUCAUCAAUUUUUUUAAUUAUUUAUAAUUUUUGAAUUAAUAUUAUACUCACAUAAGGACUACUAAAUUUUAUGGGAAUCUCUCAAACCUAGAAGGGAUCACUAUUAUCUCAAUCGUAUAGUUGUUGAUCUAAGGACUAAAAAAUUAAAAGCUCCAACUUUUAUAUACUUCUGAAAGUAUAAUAACUCCACUCUCUCUCUCUCUCUCUCUCUCUCUCUCUCUAUAUAUAUAUAUAUAUAUGACACAACAAAUGAAGGCAUAUGUUUUUUAUGUCGCACUUGCACCACAUCACUCAUAUCACAAGCCAAUUAAAUCUUUUCUUCCCAAGGAAAAAUAUAAUAAUUUUUUUUAAAAAAAAAUUGUGGUAGAAUGGGCGAAUCCUAGGGACAUAAUUUGAUUGAUUCCAAACAUAGAUAACAUGGUGCAAUUGCAACAUCCUAAACUUUUUCUUAGGAGCGUAAUUUGAUUAGUUGGGAACACAAUAAUGUGGUGCUAUUGCCACAUUUCAGAUAUUUUCCUCAGAAAAAAGUUGCAACUAAAAAAAUGAUUCUAACAGGACUCGGAAUUAGAAUUUCCUAUUGUCAUUAUUCGAUAGCUUAAGCUACUAAAGAACUAUAUAUGUUUUUAACACUAAGUUCCAUUGCUACACUCUUAUAAGUAUGAUCGCCUCCGUAAAUAUAAGUCAUUUUCGAUGAUAGAGUUUUCGAAUCAACGCUCCGUAUCGUUAAAUAUUAUCUAAAUCAUUUAAAACUUUUAAAAACUAAAUUUCAUAAUUCUUCGAUAUUAUUUACCUUACAAUCAAAAGAUAUAAAAGUUGACAAUUUUUAAUAGCCAGCAUAGAAUAGUUGCUAGUUUAACGAUAUAAAAGAAUCAAAAUCGAUUGAAUUUUUGAUAGAAAAUUUUAUUCACUAUCUAGAUAAAGAAGAAUAAAUCCAAUCUUAAAUAAAAGAAUCCGAUUUUUUAAUUUUAGGAGGUCGUUUGAUUUCGACCGUGUAUUUUAUACCCACCUGAUAGAUUUUAUUAUAAUUUUAAAAAGAGUAAUGCUUCUAUAUUUUUUUUUUUCGUUACCGUUCAUUCACGCAUGUUCAAUGGUUCAGAUUUAAUUUUUUUUAAAUUGUGACCUGCAAUAGCAGAUCACUUUGAGAGAGGUACUGGUUACCAGGUAACUCAAAAAAUAGUAUUUUUGUCUUUUAAUACAUAGGCAAUUUCGUCAUUUUAUCUCUACUAUAUUUUCAAAAAAUUUUUAUUUUCUCUUUGUUUCCUUUUUUAGUAACUAAAUUAGAAAAAUUCUUAAAUUUUUUAAACAUAUUAAAUAUGUUGAAUUUAAAUAUUUGCCCACAUUUAAUUUUUUAAAAUUAGUAUACAAAAUUAAUGACUAAGAUGAAUUCAUAAUUUUGUUAAACGUAUUAAAUAUGUUAAAUUUAAAUAUUUACCAACAUUACAAAUGUUUUUAAAUAGUCAUACAAAAUUAAUGUCUAAAGUAGAAAUCUUCUUAAAAUUUUUUAACAUAUUAAAUACAUUUAAAUUAUAAUUUUACUUAUAUUCAAAAUUUUUUAAAUAAGUGAUACAAAUUAAUGUCUAAACUAUAGGAAUUUAAAAGUUUCUUAAACAUAUUAAAUAUGUUUGAAUUAAAAGUUAUACUAAACAUUACAAUUUUUUUAAAUAGUAAUACAAAAUUCCUCUAAUAAAUUUCACUUUUAAUUUUAAUAUUUAAUAUUUAAUUAAAUUCAUCGUAUUAGAAUAGAACUAUUUCUAAAAUUUCUAUAAUUUGAUUAAUGCAUAAUUCUUAGUAAACACUAAAACAUUUAAAUAGAUGCAUAAUUAUUGUCUAUUAAUGCAUAAAUUUGGUUAAUCAAUUAAUUUUCUAAAUUAGUGCAAAUAAUGCAUAAAUUUUAGGACCUCAAUUAAAAGUUCUUUAAAUGUUGUAUUGUUUAUUACCAAACUAACCUUGAAUAAAAUAAUCAUUUUACCUGUUAAUCAUUAAAAUUACAUUUUUACCCUCUAUUAAUCAACGGUUAAGAUCUUUUUAUUUUUUUAAAAAAAGUACCGAAUCAUUUCUCAUAUUAUAUAUAUAUAUUAUAUAUAUAUAUAUAUAUAAGGCCUUUCUGAAUAAAAAGUCACUUAUUUGGGUUUUGCAAAAUGACCAGGUUUAUUCGUUUUUACAGAUUCGUCCACUUUUUCAGCUAAAGUGACCAAAUAUUCUUAUUAUCUUUUCUCUUUCCUCUUUUUGUUUUUUCGUUCGUUUUUUUUUUCUUUUCGCCUCCUCCCGACCCCUGCCCUCCGCCUCGCCUCCUCCUCCGCCUCCCCCCCCCCCCCCGCCCUCUCCUCCUCCUCCUCGACUCCCUCUGCGACCGCCGCCUCGUCGCCGACGCCGAAUCCCUCUUCCUCCGCCCCCUUCCCUUCCUCCCCUCCCCCUUACCCCGACACCAAGGUCUACAACCUCCUCCUCCGCGGCUGGCUCAAGGUCCGCCGAUGGCGCCGCUACCGCGAGCUCUGCUCGACAUGGACCGCACCGGUCCCAAAGACCUCCAUUCUACUUCCGUCUCUUACAUGGACGCCCUCCGUCCAAGUCCGGAAGCCCUGGAACGCCGUCCGACUCUUCAAGGAGAUGUCCCGAAAGUUCGCUCCCCGACGCCGUCGCCUACAAACCGCAUCACGCGCCCUUGGAUCUUUAUCAACGGCCCGCGUGCCCACCCGCCGCCGUGGCGGGGGAGUGCUGGUCGCGGGGCGCGCGCAGUGCGGCACGGGGCAGGGUCAGCGGCAAGGCGGUACACGCGGCGGCGGCAGGCGGGCACGCGGGCGGCUGUGGCUGCUUCUUCUUCUUCUUCAUGGUGUAGGUGGCACCAUUACACCAUUAAUAGUGUAUUUCACCAUUACACGCAUUAAUGGUGUAUGGUGCACCAUUAAUGGGUAAUUAUACCAUUAACCAUUAAUGGUGUAAUGCGUGCCCAUUACAUCAUUAAUGGUGUAAUGGUUUACCAUACACCAUUACGAAGAAGAAGAACGAGUGCACCAUUACACCAUACGAAGAAGAAGAAGCCGCGUGCACGCGUACCUGCCCGCUGCCGCCGCGUUGCCCGCUCCGCCGCCGCCGCGUCACCGGCCCUGCAGCCGACCGGCCCCUCGCUGCGCUCGUGUGUGUUCGACGAAUCGCCACUUCAAGGCUUCCUGAUCCCGCCGCUUCCUUUGCUUCUCAGUAGCGGACAAGAACUCUCUCUCCUCGUGCGCCGGAGCGCGGCCCCCUCGGCACGACAGGCUUCGGACGGGUCGAGAGACGCGUCCGGGAGUUGGGAGCAGGCCGAUGGGUGCCGGCGCGGCGCACCAGCUGAGGAUCGCGUUCCUGAUAACGACGUUGGGGAUGAGGAGGGGAGAGGCGGAGGCAGAGGUCGAGAGGUUGAGGGCGUGGGAGAGGCACGAGGGUGAAGCGAGGUCGAGCACGUGUGGACGCAAGCUCCGCUCGCGAUCGGCCGUCGAGCACAGCGUCACCACCGACGAGUCGCGCACUCUGACUUGGCGCCUUCCUUGCGCCGCCUCUGCUCCUUCGGCGGCCGGAGGACCCCUCGUUGGCCGCCUUCCGUGGGAUCGCGAGAGGAGGCGACGCGCGUCCCUGGGAAAAGAAAGAAAAAAAAACAACGAGAAAAAAAAAGAGAGAAGAAAAACGUAUAAGGGUAUUUUAGUCAGUUUGCUGAAAAAGUGGACCGAAUCUGCUAAAACGAAAAGGUGGUCCGAUUUUGCAAAAGCCCAAAAUAAGUGGAUUUUUUAUGCAAAAGCCUAUAUAAUAAUAUAUUAAAUAUAAUAUAAUAUAUCAUAUAUAUAUAUAAUAUAUAUAUAUAUAUAUUCAUUCUUACCUGGAGGUUGUUAAUAUAAAAAGUAUUUAAUUACCGUUUUAUACUAACUUAAAAUUUUAAAGUAUAACGAUUAUUUCACAUGACAUCAAAGCACGAGGUUUUAAGUGCGUGUCAUAUCAGGCUCCUAAUAUUAUUAUUAUUUUUUUCAUUAAUUUCAAGUACACAUCCGGGAUUUACAAACAAUUUCGAGCACCAUUUUCUAGGCAUGCUAUAAUCCAAUGAGGAAAAAAAGCUUAAAUUUACUUAUACUCUGAUAAAUAGAAAGUACAGUUUGUUCCAGAAGCCGAACUGAACAAGCAUUAGCAUACAUUUUCAAAAAAAAACUUUAAUAGGAAGCUUCCUAAUGAGGCUUUAUUGGAGAGUUCUUGAUUCGCUACUAUAUGUUAGAUUUUUUCUUCCUAUUUUGUGGAUCGUAAGUGCUAAUCAACUAUUCCAAAAGCACACGCGUAUGGAUAGAAAGGACGUACCCAUUGCACAUAAGGAUUUAGCCACAGUGCUCGCGGAUUUCGAUCCGAUUCAACCCAUAUGAACAUUGGGUCUAUUGUUGAGCCUCGAGCUUGCCGUUAGGUCUCUUAUGUACCGCACCUCCACUCAAUUUAUAAGUCUUCUGGAUCUAUUGUUACGGGACAUGAUGUUUGACUUAUUUUAGUCCAAUAAUAAGUAGCCAAUAAUUCCAACUCCAGAUCAUUUUGCUAAUGUUAAAUUUAGUGCAAUUGCAAGUCUCAGUGUGAUAGAUAUACUUUCUUGCAGAGUCUCAGAUUUGAUCAAUCAAUCUUGUGUUCUUGAGCAUCACCUUGCAAUGGAAAUCACAUCUUUUAUGAAUGUGCCCGUACGUACGUAGUAGAUCUCUUGGAAUUUCAUGGAUGAAUCGAACCAGUUUGAUUGUGUUUUCUUUUAGUUUCGUUCUUGUACAAAAUUAAAUUUCAUGUUAUAUAGUUUUGCUAUUGGGAGCUAUAUAUAUAUAAACCAAAUUACUUGAAGAGUCUGGUUGUUUUGUUGGCUUAUUUUUUGGGUAAUAUUGGUUCUGUCAAUGACCAUUUUAUUUACAAUUUAAUCACUGCUGCAAUAUUUUUCGUUUUAAUGAAUUGCUAUUUUAAGUAAUGCUAUGGACACGUGCUAUGCUCAAAUCCUCCCAUCAGCUUUUUCAUGUAAGGUGAAUUUUUAAGUUAAAAGAGCUUUUACUUUUCGAGCACAGAAUCACAUAUUUUUCACUCAGCUUCUUGUUGCAAAAGAAGCCCAUAAUAAAUCAGAGGAUGUUGUAAUUUUAUUUGUAUCCAACCAAAUGGAUUAGGCUUAUUAUUACUUUUAUUUCAAACUACAAUCCCCAUGGAAUGGGCUUCCACAAAGCCACCUCCUUUAUUCCACACGCAUUUAUACAAUACGUAGGCAUACGUGUAUGUAUAUAUCUGUACGUAUAGUAGCUAGUAUCUGUGAUCUAAGGGCAAAACACAACCUGGUAGUUGGUGUUUCCAGGGCAAGUGAAAUUGGUGCCGUCGUAAUCGUCAGGAUAGCUGAAUGCCUGAGGGCACUGGCCCUUGAAGUACUCGGAGUACUGCGUCGGGUUGCAGCUGCUCCCGGACGGGCAGCAGUACUCGGGCGUCCCGAAGAUCGUGCACGGGUCGUCGCACCCGCCGGGCACCUGCAGCGGCGCCGGGCAGUUCGCAUUUACGUUGGCCGCGCAGCUCGGCCCCGAUGUGCAGCCGUUCGACGUCGGCGUGAAGCUCAGCGGCACGUUGAACCCUGAAAACAAAGCGCUUAUGUUCAUUCACAAAUUUGUACUGUAAAUUAAACACUGUUAUCUGAUAGUUUAAGUUUAUAGAAUAAAAGUACCAGCCACGAGGGAGAUGUCAAAGUAGUCGAGGCCCGCAUACUGAUCGAGAGCAUACUCGGCGAGAGUAUUGGGGUUCUGUCCGUAGCCGGUGCAGGCGAGGACGCCGCCGCAGUCGCCGGUCUGGCAGUGGCCGUUGCCAUUGGAGUCGAAGGAGCAGCCGGUGCGAGCCCAGACGCGGCCGCCGGUGGUGCCGUCAGCCACGUUGAAGGUCCAGGACUGGCCUGGGUUGAGCUGGGCGCCGCCACCGGGGGAGGCGGCGGCCCAGACGGUGUAGGAGCAUUGGUUGAUGACGUUGAAGGUCGAGGCGGCGGCGAGAGGGAGGAGGGCGAGGAGCAGGAGAGGGAGAGUGGUUUGUGUGGCCAUUUCUGGGGAGAAAUUGGAUUCAAAGUGUUGUUGUUGUUGUUGUUGUUGUUG